Molecule: ribosomal RNA, 130 nt
Filed under: Jatropha curcas
Lineage: Eukaryota; Viridiplantae; Streptophyta; Magnoliopsida; Malpighiales; Euphorbiaceae
Description: 5.8S ribosomal RNA
Rfam family: 5.8S ribosomal RNA
About the family: 5.8S ribosomal RNA (5.8S rRNA) is a component of the large subunit of the eukaryotic ribosome.
Source: Rfam by way of RNAcentral
GACUCUUGGCAACGGAUAUCUCGGCUCUCGCAUCGAUGAAGAACGCAGCGAAAUGCGAUACUUGGUGUGAAUUACAGAAUCCCGCGAACCAUCGCAUGUGCUGUGGUCCACGAUCGCCGCGAUGGCGUCU